RNAcentral lists this ribosomal RNA (494 nucleotides) under uncultured Eubacteriales bacterium. RNAcentral's name for it is "bacterial SSU rRNA". It matches the Rfam family "Bacterial small subunit ribosomal RNA", at positions 28 to 523 of the family's 1533-position model. The record is from RNAcentral. Lineage: Bacteria; Bacillati; Bacillota; Clostridia; Eubacteriales.
GACGAACGCUGGCGGCGCGCCUAACACAUGCAAGUCGAGCGAUGAAAGUUGUUCAGAUCCUUCGGGUGACGAACUUCUGGAUUAGCGGCGAACGGGUGAGUAACGCGUGAGGAACCUGCCUCUCACAACGGGAUAGCCUCGGGAAACCGGGAUUGAUACCGUAUGACACUAUCAGAUGGCAUCAUCAGGUAGUUAAAGUGCUAGCGGUGAGAGACGGCCUCGCGUCUGAUUAGUUAGUUGGUGGGGUAACGGCCUACCAAGACGACGAUCAGUAACCGGCCUGAGAGGGUGAACGGUCACAUUGGAACUGAGACACGGUCCAAACUCCUACGGGAGGCAGCAGUGGGGAAUCUUGCACAAUGGGGGGAACCCUGAUGCAGCGACGCCGCGUGAGCGAUGAAGGUUUUCGAAUCGUAAAGCUCUGUCCUAUGGGAAGAUAAUGACGGUACCAUAGGAGGAAGCCCCGGCUAACUACGUGCCAGCCGCCGCGGUAA